CCACACCAACCAAAAAGGUGUAAAAGGUCAGUCUACAUCUCCCUUUCACACCAAACUAUAGCUGAAAAUGAUUACCACUUCCACAUAUUUGCAACGAAUUCAAAAAUUCCUCAUAAAAUCCUCUACUUUCACCUGUAGUUUACUUGGUUUUAUAGACAUAUCCAUGUAGUUCCUAUAAAACAUUAUAAGUGUCAUACUUAUGGUAUACCACUGCUUUCACACUUGCUCUUAUCUCCUUUGAAAUUUCACAAUUUUCUUAUGCUUAUGUCUGACAUAACAUUGCAAAGCCUCACAGUAAUUCAGGGCUAAAAAUGCUCUAUCCAUGUUCAUAUCCAUGCUCAAAUCAAUUGGUUAACUUUUUCUUUUUAAUUCCUUAUCUCAUGUUGACUCUUCACUUAGGUUUUCUCUUAUAACAACAAUUCAGACACUGUUUUUUUGUGAUAGCAUAAAACUAUAGCCUCCUUUUGCUCUUUCGUUACUGUUAAGCAAUUGACACUCCAAUAUAAGCCAAUUUACGUGUUUUGGUCGAUAACUUCCACUGCAUACAUUCUUCUACAUUUUUCCUAUUCUACUUUGUUAUGAUGGCCUACACAUUAAUACAAACUUAUCAGUAGCAACAAUAGGAACAACGUUUCUGUCUACCAGCAAAUCUAUCAGUCCAUAUUUGCAGUUUCUAACAUACUUUAAACUGUGUAAUUGCAGGAACUACCUCGCACCAUUUUGUGACUUUUGCUUAUGAUAGGGACAAUAUAAUGAACAACUCUCCCUAUGCUGUGCUUUAUUUCAUGAGGAAGAUUAACUAUGCACAAGCAAACUGCAGUCUCUUCUAAAUAUGAUACUGCAACAUGUAUAUUGUUUUUAUUAUGUUCCAUUAGUUAGUAUGUGCCAAUAGUUCAACUCGACAUCAUACUGAUGUGUAUUGUACAUAUUCUGAAUAUUUCUAAUAGUACAUAUUAUAAUAUAUGCUAUUAUCUAUCUUCUAUAAACACCCUAACCCUUAAUUCAUUAACAUAACAACACUUUUACAAGCAUAAUACUUUGACUAUUGGGCCCGUGCUUGCCACGGGCCUCCCUACCCUAGUA
This 1083-nucleotide long non-coding RNA is filed under the name Solanum tuberosum (potato). RNAcentral's name for it is "long non-coding RNA (STUB_LNC005282)". The record is from RNAcentral. Lineage: Eukaryota; Viridiplantae; Streptophyta; Magnoliopsida; Solanales; Solanaceae.